Molecule: unclassified non-coding RNA, 250 nt
Filed under: plant metagenome
Description: partial contains small subunit ribosomal RNA, internal transcribed spacer 1, and 5.8S ribosomal RNA
Source: RNAcentral
GUAGGUGAACCUGCGGAAGGAUCAUUAUCAAAACAAUUACGUUAUCCACGUAACUAACAAACUGCGAACUGUAUCUAUCUGUACAUUUCUACAGAUUUUAUGUCUCACAAAAAAAGGGAUUACGUAUUGGCAAUUGCAUUGUCAGAUCGUUGGGUCACUCCAACGGGAGAUGCAGUUACCAAUACAUUUUACCUUUUCUUUUGUUUGGCAUAAAGUAGAAAUGAAAUCUCCUUUAUUAACCAAUUGAACA